Molecule: long non-coding RNA, 2442 nt
Filed under: Olea europaea subsp. europaea
Lineage: Eukaryota; Viridiplantae; Streptophyta; Magnoliopsida; Lamiales; Oleaceae
Source: RNAcentral
UAAGAACUACCACCUUCAAAAUGUUGUAAUAAAAAAUUCAAAAGAGCAUCCAACCUCUUGUAUUGUAAAUCAAAAGCCACUUUGUAAGACUUUAAUAAAAUUACUUUCUUCCUCCAACUAUCUUGUUCAAUUAAAUACUCAUAUCAUUUCUAUCCCACAUAAAAUUUAUUUAACCACUUUUAUCUAAACUCAUUUAUUUCUUCUACUCAAAAUAAAAUCCAUCAGUGGUAUCAGAACCAGGUUCGAUUGAUAUUGGGCGUAAGCACAUACUAUGGUACAUGCUUUCUGUUCAUCCAUUCCUAUUCCAAUAGUUAAUGGAGACAACUAUAAUUUUUGUUCCAUUGAAAUGAAGAUCUACUUUUGUACGCAAAACUAAUGGGAUGUCGUUAAUGAUGGGUAUACUAAUCCAGAUGACAUUUCCACUCUAUCUAUCACACAAAAGAAGGAACUUAAAGAGAAUCAACAAAAAGAUUCUCUAGUACUACUUGCUGUACAAAUGACUUUGAUGGACACUUAUUCUUCAAGAAUCAUAGGAAUCAAAACGGCAAAAGAAGCUUGUGAUAAAUUGAAGGAGGAGUUUCAUGGCAGUGACAAGGUAUGCACUUGCCGUCUUCAAACUUUAGGAAUGAAUUUGGAAAAUUUAAAAAUGAAAGAUUCUGAAACCGCGAAAGAUUAUUAUUCAAGAAUAGAUGAAAUAGUAAAUCAAUUAAGAUCUUAUGGAGAUAAUGUUUCUCAAUAGAAAGUCUUUGGAAAAAUUUUAAUGACUUGCAUAGAAAAAUAUGAUCCAAUUAUUGCAGCUGUUGAGGAGUCAAAAGAUAUAAAAGAAUUGAGAGCUACAGAAUUAAUGGGUUCAUUAGAAGCACAUGAAAAAUAUUUAGAAAGACGUUAUGAGAUUAAUACGGAAAAUGCAUUUCAAUCGAAAGUUAAUAUGAGGUUUUAGAAAUUUAAAGAAGGUGGGAGAAAAUUUAAGAAAAUUGUAAAAAUAAAGAAACUCAAGGAAAAUAAUUUGAUAAAAGCGGUAAUUAUCCUUCAUGUGCUAUAUGUAAAAGAAAAAAGUCAUUUGGAGAAGGAUUGUUAGUUCAAAGGAAAACCACAGUGUCCUCACUGUAAAAAAUUUGGUCACGAAUAAAAAUUUUAUCGUUUUAAACAAAAUUAUCAAGCUAAUUUCUCCGAAGAAAAUGAUAUAGAAGGAAAUCUAUUUUAUGCCACUAUCAAGGAUGCAUCUGAUGACAAAUUGGAUACGUGACAUCUAGAGAGUGAUUAUAGUAAUCAUAUGACGAAAGAUGAAAGUAUUUUCUGCAAUCUUGAUAAAACCAAGGCAAAAAUCAAGAUUGGUAAUGAAAAUUUCAUAGAGCCAACAUGCAAAUGUACUAAUGCUGUUAAUACAAAAAAGUACAAGAGAUAAUCAAUGAAGUUCUCUUAGUCCCUACAAUAGACCAGAAUUUACUAUGUGCAGUCAUAUGAUGGAGAAAGGAUAUAGUUUACAUUUUGAAAGAAAUUCUUGCACGAUCUCUGAUAAAAAAGAUAAAUAUCUUAUAAUUGCAAAAGUCAAAAAAGGGGAAAACAGAUGUUUUCCAAUUCAAUGGAGAUAUGCAAACAAUGCAGCAAUAACAGCACGAGUAGAUGAGUCAUGGCUGUGGUACAAAAGAUUUGGACAUUUUCCACUUCCACAAGUUGAAGAUCUUGCAGCAAAAGAACAUGAUGAGAGACUUACCAGUUAUAAAAGAGAUUGAUGCAGCCACCUCCAAGGUCAUAAUCUAUUCUUCCCACCACAAUCACCACCAAACAACUCCAAUAAAUUCGUAAGUUGCAGCAUAAGUAAUCACUUAUUUUACUUUUGUCUAGAGCCCCUCACUUAAUUCUAUCCCUCCAACCGCUACAACAAUAGAUCCACCACAAAGAAAGCUAACUUUACUAGGGGUUGGUUUUAUAGUCACUUUAUACACAAUUGAUGCUCGAGAAAUACCCUUUCUACUAAGCAAGAAUUAUUUUAGGUCGAUGCAUGAGCUAGAAAAGACGCUUAAUAUCUAUAAUUUUUUUUAUUGAGCAUGUGUUUGAGGGGGAAGAAAUUGGAGAAGGUUGUGCAGAAUGAAUACUAUAAAAUAUUUAAAAUUGUUUGGGCAAAGACCUUUUCUAAAUUUACUUGUAUUGGCGGUUGUCAGCACUGGUGGUAGGUGGAGUUGUGGUGGCGGUGGCUAGGUGGGGUGGGGAAGGUGUUCUUAUAUUUAUUUUUAUUUUUUGAUUUUCUUAAUUUAAUUUUUAGCUUAUUUAUGUGGAAAAUGGGAAAGUUGUCAUUUUACUGUUUUUAGAUUUGGUCAAAAUCAAAUUUCUUGGUCAACUAACAGUCAAUUCAUCUAUUUGUCCUUGUAUUGCAACAAAAUGAAAUGUUUAGGUUUGUGGGCACCGAUGAAUCUAGCUUCUAGCAUGAACACGGACUAAUAC